AAACAUACAGACAGGUCCAUAAUCCUUACACCAUCAGUUAACAAGUGAAAAGCUAUACUGUAGGCAAGAUUACUUUUCACUGGAGAAAGUAAUAUUAUGGAUAGAGGACUCGUAAGGACUAGUUUGAAAUUAAAAAAAAAGGUGCAAGAUAAAUGCUGUUCCAAGCCUUCGAACCAGGAACCAUGUAAACAUAAAAAAUGAAUAAAUAAUAAAUAAAUAAACAGCACUUCCAGAAUCCAUCAAGAAGCAUUUUCCGCGAUUUUCAAGUUGUUAGCACCUUGUGAUGCCUUUUACUUGGCUUUUAUUUGUGACUGGAUGCCUUUGACCACAUUUGAAAAAUUUGCAAGGUAAUUUUAUGCAGACGAGGACAUUUCACGGUUAGGGUAGAGUGCUUAAACAUGGGUUAAAUGCAUUC
This is a long non-coding RNA of Cyprinus carpio carpio, 415 nucleotides long. NCBI's taxonomy places the organism in Eukaryota, Metazoa, Chordata, Actinopteri, Cypriniformes, Cyprinidae. The record is from Ensembl.